This 558-nucleotide ribosomal RNA is filed under the name Triticum aestivum (bread wheat). RNAcentral describes it as "partial small subunit ribosomal RNA". Lineage: Eukaryota; Viridiplantae; Streptophyta; Magnoliopsida; Poales; Poaceae. The record is from RNAcentral.
AUGCUCCACUUUUUGUACAACAAGUCCUUUUGCCGGCUCACCCACAGCCAGUCAGCCACCAUGCAGCACUCCUCGCCCUUCCUCUCGCUCCUCCUCCUCCUCGCCGCCUCGCCACUCCUUGCCGCCGCAGAAACGAUCUACUGCUUCGGUGGAGUACACAACACCAACAGCACCUACGGGGCCAACCUCCGCCGCCUGGCCGCCGUCCUGCCGUCCAAGACCGCCUCCUCCCAAGGCCUCCGGGCGUCCGGUGACGUGGGGUACUGGCCUAACCGGGUGCGAGCCUCCUCCAGCUGCGAGCCUCCUAGCGUCAACUCCUCGUCCUGUGCCGCCUGCGUCGCCGCCGCCUUCCGGGAGGCGGAGAGCGCGUGCCCGUACGGCAGGAAGGUGCUCGUCUUGGCCGGCAACUGCACUCUCCGACUCGGCCUUGGCCAUUUUUCUAGAUCUCUCGGCUUGGGUGAGGGUGGGUUCUCUGGCAUCUCUUCUCAAGAAGGUAUGUUUUGCUUUACAGGACCCACAGAUUAUUAUUUUUCUGCGUACAUCAGUCUCAUGUGCUAA